RNAcentral lists this transfer RNA (62 nucleotides) under Vallitalea guaymasensis. It matches the Rfam family "tRNA", at positions 6 to 65 of the family's 71-position model. Rfam says of the family: Transfer RNA (tRNA) molecules are approximately 80 nucleotides in length. Lineage: Bacteria; Bacillati; Bacillota; Clostridia; Lachnospirales; Vallitaleaceae. The record is from RNAcentral.
AGUCGCCAAGCGGUAAGGCACUAGACUUUGACUCUAGUAGGCGUAGGUUCGAAUCCUGCCUA